AUCCAGAGCUGGAUACAUGGU
This 21-nucleotide small nuclear RNA is filed under the name Arabidopsis thaliana (thale cress). RNAcentral describes it as "snRNA_09987". Lineage: Eukaryota; Viridiplantae; Streptophyta; Magnoliopsida; Brassicales; Brassicaceae. The record is from RNAcentral.